GUUGGGGUUUCAGAGACAGACCCCUCAGUAGUGGAGCCGGCGAGAGCUCUUAGGCUCUGUGAGGCGAGUAAAGGACGCUGGGACCAGAGCUCGUGCAGAGGUCCAGAGGCCGGCGGUGAAAGGGGCCAUUCAUCAACUCUUCUUUUAGCAGCCUGCUGAUGUCUGGCAACUGCGAGUGAGACAUACAAAAGUAAUGAUCUGGAUACAGAUGCUUCGUUUGCUUUUUCCGGAUGACAUCCUACUUUAAAGCAUCACAUUAAAGGAUUAGGCUGCGGCUUCCCGAAGCGGGCCAAAACGAUCCACUCGGUCGGAGGAGCCGUGCCUACAAAGGGAACUGGAAGCGGUCCAGCACAUCACUCUGAUGUUUUAAAUUAGAAGAAGCCCUAUAAAUAGA
This is a long non-coding RNA of Triplophysa rosa, 394 nucleotides long. RefSeq lists it as uncharacterized. The record is from RefSeq and is a predicted model, not a curated record. NCBI's taxonomy places the organism in Eukaryota, Metazoa, Chordata, Actinopteri, Cypriniformes, Nemacheilidae. The transcript is spliced from 3 exons.